This 252-nucleotide ribosomal RNA is filed under the name uncultured bacterium. RNAcentral's name for it is "partial 16S ribosomal RNA". It matches the Rfam family "Bacterial small subunit ribosomal RNA", at positions 524 to 776 of the family's 1533-position model. The record is from RNAcentral.
UACAGAGGUGGCAAGCGUUGUUCGGAAUUACUGGGCGUAAAGGGCGCGUAGGCGGUUCGUUAAGUCCUGUGUGAAAUCCCCCGGCUCAACUGGGGAACUGCACAGGAAACUAGCGGGCUUGAGUUCGGGAGAGGGAAGCGGAAUUCCGGGUGUAGCGGUGAAAUGCGUAGAUAUCCGGAGGAACACCGGUGGCGAAGGCGGCUUCCUGGACCGGUUCUGACGCUGAGGCGCGAAGCGUGGGGAGCAAACGGG